GAGGGUAUAGCUCAAGUGGUAAAGCACAUGCUUGGCAUGCAUGAGGUCCUGGGUUCAAUCCCCAGUAUCUCCU
Molecule: transfer RNA, 73 nt
Filed under: Camelus bactrianus (Bactrian camel)
Lineage: Eukaryota; Metazoa; Chordata; Mammalia; Artiodactyla; Camelidae
Also listed under: 3 other names
Rfam family: tRNA
About the family: Transfer RNA (tRNA) molecules are approximately 80 nucleotides in length.
Source: Rfam by way of RNAcentral